GGGCGAUUAGCUCAGCGGGAGAGCGCUGCAUUCACACUGCAGAGGUCGGCAGUUCGAUCCUGCCAUCGCCCA
This 72-nucleotide transfer RNA is filed under the name Acidimicrobiia bacterium. RNAcentral describes it as "tRNA-Val". It matches the Rfam family "tRNA". Rfam says of the family: Transfer RNA (tRNA) molecules are approximately 80 nucleotides in length. The record is from RNAcentral. Lineage: Bacteria; Bacillati; Actinomycetota; Acidimicrobiia.